GCCAGCCCCCUCCCGAGCGUGUCCUCAGCGCUGUGAACAAUGGAACCAUCAAAAAGGCCUUCUCCCAGCCGCCUCACCAACCACGGACAUUCCUGGCCCAACAAGCCCUCCUGGCCUGGUUUUGAGCCCUGCUUCCCAGAUCUGGGGACCCUUCACCUGCCUCUACUACUGCAAAUGAUUGGAUAUUCGUCUGCCUUGGCUCUUCCCUAAUGUGUGGAACUAAUUUUGUUCACUCUGUUUCAUGCUGGACCUGGCCUGAAAAUGGGCCCUUACAUUGUCUUUGCACUUUCCAACUUGCCAAGUUUCUGAAAGAAGGACCAAAGUAAUGCCAAGAACUCCCAGAUGAAGAGGACCUUCCUUAGACCUAUAACAGAUUCACUACUUGACUUCAGAGGGACGUUUCAGCUAAUUCUCAGGAAAAGGUCAAAACAGGCCUGUGACUGUCCCUCGAAUACUGAAGGUAUAAACAAGCUUCUGGCUCCUCCAGGUCAAGCAGAGGAACACUUUUAUUAGAAUGAAGGGUUACUUCUUUGUUAUUCAGACACACACCCACACACAUCCUCUGUAGUCUCCCUAAUGAAAAACCUCAACAGAUGGAGAGCCUGAGCU
This 609-nucleotide non-coding RNA is filed under the name Pongo abelii (Sumatran orangutan). The record is from RNAcentral. Lineage: Eukaryota; Metazoa; Chordata; Mammalia; Primates; Hominidae.